AGAGUUUGAUCCUGGCUCAGAUUGAACGCUGGCGGAAUGCUUUACACAUGCAAGUCGAACGGUAGAGGGGGCAACCCCUUGAGAGUGGCGAACGGGUGAGUAAUAUAUCGGAACGUGCCCAGUCGUGGGGGAUAACGUAGCGAAAGUUACGCUAAUACCGCAUACGAUCUAAGGAUGAAAGCGGGGGAUCGCAAGACCUCGCGCGAUUGGAGCGGCCGAUAUCAGAUUAGGUAGUUGGUGGGGUAAAGGCUCACCAAGCCAACGAUCUGUAGCUGGUCUGAGAGGACGACCAGCCACACUGGAACUGAGACACGGUCCAGACUCCUACGGGAGGCAGCAGUGGGGAAUUUUGGACAAUGGACGCAAGUCUGAUCCAGCCAUUCCGCGUGCAGGAUGAAGGCCCUCGGGUUGUAAACUGCUUUUGUACGGAACGAAAAGGUUUCCAUUAAUACUGGGGGCUCAUGACGGUACCGUAAGAAUAAGCACCGGCUAACUACGUGCCAGCAGCCGCGGUAAUACGUAGGGUGCAAGCGUUAAUCGGAAUUACUGGGCGUAAAGCGUGCGCAGGCGGUUAUGUAAGACAGAGGUGAAAUCCCCGGGCUCAACCUGGGAACUGCCUUUGUGACUGCAUAGCUAGAGUACGGUAGAGGGGGAUGGAAUUCCGCGUGUAGCAGUGAAAUGCGUAGAUAUGCGGAGGAACACCGAUGGCGAAGGCAAUCCCCUGGACCUGUACUGACGCUCAUGCACGAAAGCGUGGGGAGCAAACAGGAUUAGAUACCCUGGUAGUCCACGCCCUAAACGAUGUCAACUGGUUGUUGGGUCUUCACUGACUCAGUAACGAAGCUAACGCGUGAAGUUGACCGCCUGGGG
RNAcentral lists this ribosomal RNA (870 nucleotides) under uncultured Curvibacter sp. Its description in RNAcentral is "bacterial SSU rRNA". It matches the Rfam family "Bacterial small subunit ribosomal RNA", at positions 8 to 878 of the family's 1533-position model. The record is from RNAcentral. Lineage: Bacteria; Pseudomonadati; Pseudomonadota; Betaproteobacteria; Burkholderiales; Comamonadaceae.